This 497-nucleotide ribosomal RNA is filed under the name uncultured bacterium. Its description in RNAcentral is "partial 16S ribosomal RNA". It matches the Rfam family "Bacterial small subunit ribosomal RNA", at positions 28 to 508 of the family's 1533-position model. The record is from RNAcentral.
GAUGAACGCUGGCGGCGUGCCUAAUACAUGCAAGUCGAGCGAACGGACGAGAAGCUUGCUUCUCUGAUGUUAGCGGCGGACGGGUGAGUAACACGUGGAUAACCUACCUAUAAGACUGGGAUAACUUCGGGAAACCGUAGCUAAUACCGGAUAAUAUUUUGAACCGCAUGGUUCAAAAGUGAAAGACGGUCUUGCUGUCACUUAUAGAUGGAUCCGCGCUGCAUUAGCUAGUUGGUAAGGUAACGGCUUACCAAGGCAACGAUGCAUAGCCGACCUGAGAGGGGGGGCGCCACCAGUGAAACGGAGACAGGGUCCAGACCCCGAGGGAGGGCAGCAGAGGGGAAUUCUCCGAAAUGGGCAAAAGCCGGAGGGAGCACCGCGGGGUGAGUGAUGAAGUUCUUGGGAUAGAAAACCUGUUUUAUGGGGAAAAAAAAUAUGUGAACGAAACUGUGCACUUCUGGAGGGAACUUAAUAAGAAGGCCAGGCCAAACUCGGGC